RNAcentral lists this long non-coding RNA (1563 nucleotides) under Sorghum bicolor (sorghum). Its description in RNAcentral is "long non-coding RNA (SBIC_LNC017147)". The record is from RNAcentral. Lineage: Eukaryota; Viridiplantae; Streptophyta; Magnoliopsida; Poales; Poaceae.
UGGAAAGGCUGGUGCCGGUGCGCGCAGCUGCCGCUGCCAUGGGUUUCUCCCAACCUGAACCUGAACCUGAACCUGAAGCUGCAACUGCAGCUGGAGCCUCGCCCUCACAUCGAAAGUUUGGUGCGCCUGCGUUGAAGCUCUGAAUCUGUGGUAUGUAUACUGACACUAAUAAUCAUCCUAUCUUGAACUUGGAGUACUUAUCGAUCUCAUCUCAUAUGAAUCUAUCUCUCUGCCUACACUACACUACACUACACCAAGCUCCAGCAUGACAGAUCUCAUCUCAUAUUGAAUUGUUGAAUUAAUUAGCAGAUAAACUACAUGUACUGAAAUUGAUCCAUUGUUUUGGGUUACUGGACAAUGUUCAGAAUUUUUAGUUUCAUCAGAUAAACAGUCCUAAUAUAGUUAUGAAAGAAUGUGAACGGACGUUAUUUAGAUUCUAGGGAGAAAAUUGGAUCUUCAGACCUUUGUUUUGAGAUAAGUUUCAGAGAAAAACAUUUGCUUAGAGAGAAAAUUCAGAUUAGAGCAUGACAAGCUAUUAGAAGCAGUGACUCACUUCACUGCAAAACUGUGUGAUGAACCAAUAAUAAGUUGAUGAACCAAUACUAAGUCCUUGCCUUGAUGAGCCGAUACAUUGCCUGCACCUGCUAGAACACCAUCACUUGUAUGAUCAUGACAUUAUAUGAAGCCUUAGCCCCCUUUCUGUUAGCUUGGGCAAAAGCACCAUCUACGUUGAUUUUCAGCAUGUCUAAUGGGGGUGGUUUCCAGGUGCAUCCGACCGUUGUUUGACAUGCUACAGUAAGCUUUCACUUUCUCUGAAUUUCAGUAACCAACUAUCGAACAGAUCCGGCAAUAGCAGUAGGGGUUAGCUGCUUGUCUCCAGCAUUUACUGCAUUUCGUACUAUUCACCAUUUUCAUAAUAAAAUUAGAAUCUUGUUGCACAGCAUCUCUGGCAUAUUCAGGAUUUUUGCUACCAUCUCUUAUGUCCAAAUAUUGAUAUAUGGUUCAGUUGUAGGUUCUCUUGCCUUUAGCGCUCAAAAGAAUUUGAGCUAUUAUUUUUUUUUUCUAUAACUUUUGUAUUAUCUGAUACACCAUGUCACUUGCAUCUUGGAUUUGCAGUUCAGAUGAUAAACUAUAGGGUAGUGACAUAAUCAUAGUUGGAUGUGGGAUUAUAAAGGCAAUUGAUACUUUGAAGACUGCAUGGGAGUACUACCACUUGCAACUUGCAAGGGUUAGGACUCAACCGUGGAGGAGACAGGAGACUUUCACUGCAUGCACCAUCAUCCUUUGUGUUAAAUUACAAUAUUUCCUUCUCGGUUCACUCUGUUGUUGUUUGACUUGGACAUUGUGAUACCGGUGUUGAGUUGUAUAUUGUAUUAUUGCUCUUUGAACUCUAAACUCCCGAGCACCGUCAUGCUCGAAGUAUUAUUUUUUCUGAUAACAAUACAACACACAUUCAUAUUCAUAUUAUCAUAGCAUUAUAUCUCCCCGUUGCAACGUACGCGCAUUUCAACAAUGCUGCAUUUUGUUGAUAUACAUGCCUUGUAUAGUUAAGUUUGAUUAAUA